GCCCCAUAGUGUAGUGGUUAUCACGUUCACCUGACAUGUGAAACGUCCCCGGUUCAAAACCGGGUGGAAACG
RNAcentral lists this transfer RNA (72 nucleotides) under Chrysemys picta bellii (western painted turtle). Its description in RNAcentral is "tRNA-Val (GAC) (tRNA-Val-GAC-1-1)". The stretch from base 4 to 67 matches the Rfam family "tRNA", at positions 5 to 66 of the family's 71-position model. Rfam says of the family: Transfer RNA (tRNA) molecules are approximately 80 nucleotides in length. Their secondary structure includes four short double-helical elements and three loops (D, anti-codon, and T loops). Further hydrogen bonds mediate the characteristic L-shaped molecular structure. tRNAs have two regions of fundamental functional importance: the anti-codon, which is responsible for specific mRNA codon recognition, and the 3' end, to which the tRNAs corresponding amino acid is attached (by aminoacyl-tRNA synthetases). tRNAs cope with the degeneracy of the genetic code in two manners: having more than one tRNA (with a specific anti-codon) for a particular amino acid; and 'wobble' base-pairing, i.e. permitting non-standard base-pairing at the 3rd anti-codon position. Lineage: Eukaryota; Metazoa; Chordata; Testudines; Emydidae. The record is from RNAcentral.